GCGAGCCCAGAGAGGUUCAGGUGAACAGCAGCUGUGUCCAGUGUCACUCUGAGUGUCUGCUGCAGACCGGGACCCCGACCUGCCACGGACCAGGUCCAGACCAGUGUUCCCAGUGCGCCCACUUUAAAGACGGCCCCCACUGCGUCCCCGUCUGUCCCCACAGCGUCCCGGGAGACGGAGACACGCUGAUCUGGAAAUACCCCGACGGGACGGGCCAGUGCCAGACCUGCCACCAGGACUGCAUCGACGGGUGUUCUGGACCCAGGCUGUCUGGAUGCAACAGGUAAAAACUACAACUUUACCACCGAAGUUUAC
Etheostoma cragini (Arkansas darter) is the source of this 315-nucleotide long non-coding RNA. RefSeq lists it as uncharacterized. The transcript is spliced from 3 exons. NCBI's taxonomy places the organism in Eukaryota, Metazoa, Chordata, Actinopteri, Perciformes, Percidae. The record is from RefSeq and is a predicted model, not a curated record.